RNAcentral lists this ribosomal RNA (1554 nucleotides) under Staphylococcus devriesei. RNAcentral describes it as "bacterial SSU rRNA". It matches the Rfam family "Bacterial small subunit ribosomal RNA". The record is from RNAcentral. Lineage: Bacteria; Bacillati; Bacillota; Bacilli; Caryophanales; Staphylococcaceae.
UUUAUGGAGAGUUUGAUCCUGGCUCAGGAUGAACGCUGGCGGCGUGCCUAAUACAUGCAAGUCGAGCGAACAGAUAAGGAGCUUGCUCCUUUGACGUUAGCGGCGGACGGGUGAGUAACACGUGGGUAACCUACCUAUAAGACUGGGAUAACUUCGGGAAACCGGAGCUAAUACCGGAUAAUAUUUCGAACCGCAUGGUUCGAUAGUGAAAGAUGGUUUUGCUAUCACUUAUAGAUGGAUCCGCGCCGUAUUAGCUAGUUGGUAAGGUAACGGCUUACCAAGGCAACGAUACGUAGCCGGCCUGAGAGGGUGAUCGGCCACACUGGAACUGAGACACGGUCCAGACUCCUACGGGAGGCAGCAGUAGGGAAUCUUCCGCAAUGGGCGAAAGCCUGACGGAGCAACGCCGCGUGAGUGAUGAAGGUCUUCGGAUCGUAAAACUCUGUUAUUAGGGAAGAACAUACGUGUAAGUAACUAUGCACGUCUUGACGGUACCUAAUCAGAAAGCCACGGCUAACUACGUGCCAGCAGCCGCGGUAAUACGUAGGUGGCAAGCGUUAUCCGGAAUUAUUGGGCGUAAAGCGCGCGUAGGCGGUUUUUUAAGUCUGAUGUGAAAUCCCACGGCUCAACCGUGGAGGGUCAUUGGAAACUGGAAAACUUGAGUGCAGAAGAGGAAAGUGGAAUUCCAUGUGUAGCGGUGAAAUGCGCAGAGAUAUGGAGGAACACCAGUGGCGAAGGCGACUUUCUGGUCUGUAACUGACGCUGAUGUGCGAAAGCGUGGGGAUCAAACAGGAUUAGAUACCCUGGUAGUCCACGCCGUAAACGAUGAGUGCUAAGUGUUAGGGGGUUUCCGCCCCUUAGUGCUGCAGCUAACGCAUUAAGCACUCCGCCUGGGGAGUACGACCGCAAGGUUGAAACUCAAAGGAAUUGACGGGGACCCGCACAAGCGGUGGAGCAUGUGGUUUAAUUCGAAGCAACGCGAAGAACCUUACCAAAUCUUGACAUCCUUUGACCGCUCUAGAGAUAGAGUUUUCCCCUUCGGGGGACAAAGUGACAGGUGGUGCAUGGUUGUCGUCAGCUCGUGUCGUGAGAUGUUGGGUUAAGUCCCGCAACGAGCGCAACCCUUAAACUUAGUUGCCAGCAUUCAGUUGGGCACUCUAAGUUGACUGCCGGUGACAAACCGGAGGAAGGUGGGGAUGACGUCAAAUCAUCAUGCCCCUUAUGAUUUGGGCUACACACGUGCUACAAUGGACAAUACAAAGGGCAGCGAAACCGCGAGGUCAAGCAAAUCCCAUAAAGUUGUUCUCAGUUCGGAUUGUAGUCUGCAACUCGACUACAUGAAGCUGGAAUCGCUAGUAAUCGUAGAUCAGCAUGCUACGGUGAAUACGUUCCCGGGUCUUGUACACACCGCCCGUCACACCACGAGAGUUUGUAACACCCGAAGCCGGUGGAGUAACCAUUUUGGAGCUAGCCGUCGAAGGUGGGACAAAUGAUUGGGGUGAAGUCGUAACAAGGUAGCCGUAUCGGAAGGUGCGGCUGGAUCACCUCCUUUCU